Molecule: ribosomal RNA, 468 nt
Filed under: uncultured bacterium
Lineage: Bacteria
Description: partial 16S ribosomal RNA
Rfam family: Bacterial small subunit ribosomal RNA
Source: RNAcentral
GACGAACGCUGGCGGCGUGCUUAACACAUGCAAGUCGAACGGAAAGGCCCUGCUUUUGUGGGGUGCUCGAGUGGCGAACGGGUGAGUAACACGUGAGUAACCUGCCCUUGACUUUGGGAUAACUUCAGGAAACUGGGGCUAAUACCGGAUAGGAGCUCCUGCUGCAUGGUGGGGGUUGGAAAGUUUCGGCGGUUGGGGAUGGACUCGCGGCUUAUCAGCUUGUUGGUGGGGUAGUGGCUUACCAAGGCUUUGACGGGUAGCCGGCCUGAGAGGGUGACCGGCCACAUUGGGCCUGAGAUAGGGCCCAGACUCCUACGGGAGGCAGCGGGGGGGAAUAUGGCACAACGGGCGGAAGCCUGAGGCGGCAACGCCGCGUGCGGGAUGACGGCUUUCGGGUGGUAAACCGCUUUCGCCUGUGACGAAGCGUGAGUGACGGUAAUGGGUAAAGAAGCACCGGCUAACUACGUG